GACGAACGCUGGCGGCGUGCUUAACACAUGCAAGUCGAACGGAAAGGCCCUGCUUUUGUGGGGUGCUCGAGUGGCGAACGGGUGAGUAACACGUGAGUAACCUGCCCUUGACUUUGGGAUAACUUCAGGAAACUGGGGCUAAUACCGGAUAGGAGCUCCUGCUGCAUAGUGGGGGUUGGAAAGUUUCGGCGGUUGGGGAUGGACUCGCGGCUUAUCAGCUUGUUGGUGGGGCAGUGGCUUACCAAGGCUUUGACGGGUAGCCGGCCUGAGAGGGUGACCGGCCACAUUGGGACUGAGAUACGGCCCAGACUCCUACGGGAGGCAGCAGUGGGGAAUAUUGCACAAUGGGCGGAAGCCUGAUGCAGCAACGCCGCGUGCGGGAUGACGGCCUUCGGGUUGUAAACCGCUUUCGCCUGUGACGAAGCGUGAGUGACGGUAAUGGGUAAAGAAGCACCGGCUAACUACGUG
Molecule: ribosomal RNA, 468 nt
Filed under: uncultured bacterium
Lineage: Bacteria
Description: partial 16S ribosomal RNA
Rfam family: Bacterial small subunit ribosomal RNA
Source: RNAcentral